Long non-coding RNA from Centruroides sculpturatus (bark scorpion), 1504 nucleotides. RefSeq lists it as uncharacterized. The record is from RefSeq and is a predicted model, not a curated record. The transcript has 3 exons. NCBI's taxonomy places the organism in Eukaryota, Metazoa, Arthropoda, Arachnida, Scorpiones, Buthidae.
GUUAGAAUGUAUUGUUAGCUUUUUCUACUGUAGGUGGCUAUUGUUAAGCGUAAAUUUGUUCGAAAGUUCCGCGUUUCUUUGAGAUUUUGAGAAAAAAUUGUGAUUAAGUAAACUUCAGUAAUGUACGGGAGGCAGAAAGAGCUCUCUGUGUCGCCUUUCUCUUAGGCCCGCUGGAGCUCGCUCGGACGAAGAGGAGAUCCGACGACAGACAGAGAACGCUCCCUGUGUCCCACAUCUUUAAGGCCCGUUCGGACAAAGAGGGAGACGGAGACAAAAGGCGGAGAAGGCUCCCUGUGUCCCGCAUCUUUAAGGCCCACUCGGAUGAAGACAAAAUACGGCGAGACUUAGAGGACUCUCUGUGUUUCGUUUCCUUAAGGUUUGCUCGAGUGAAGAGGCCGACCGGAGAUGGAGAAGGCUUUCUGUGUCCCACUUUAUUAAAUCACGCGCAUGGCGAACAAUUGAAACCAAUCGUCCAUCUUACUUUCCCGGCUUCUUGUGUAUGUAACACGGUAAAGUAUUGGAAUCGUAUCAACCUUGACUUUCCGAGAUUUUUGCCAAUUUCGACGAUUUCAACCUAGAAAAGCGAAAAGAAAUUCCUACAAUGAGUUGCGUGUGUUAUGUGGCUCGUGCCAUCUUUUAUGAGAUUUUGUUGUGAAAACAAUGUUUUUAUAUUAUAAGAUGACAAAAACCUUAAUUUUGAGGGUAGUGAUUGAUUUUAUAAAAACAAUCGUAAAUGCUAAUAACGAGUAAUCUUCGUUAAGUCAGAUCUCUCUUGAGAUCGCCCACUACAGUAUUUGGAUCUUUAUCAUCAUCAAUGCCCUUCAUAAUCAAGUUACCAAAUUUCAUGUUAUCAUCUUUAAUUUAUCCUGAGAUGUAAAAUGAAAUAGACGCCAACAUACGCACUGGCAUGCCACAUGCAUCCACAGAUAUCUUUCCCGUUAAUAGCAUUUUCAAUUUGUUUCUUUUAUAAAUCUCAUCCUCACUCUCAAAAUUAAGGUUGUUGCGAAGUAUACAGAAGUAUAACGCAAAAUUUAAAAAGCUAGGAACAAAGGAUUACUGCAUAGCAGUGUUUUCCAACCUUUUGGUCAUGUGACACUUAUAAAAUAUGGAAGUUGGAAAAAUUAAAGGCUUACGUAUAUUAUGAAAUAAUAUACGUUUGAUAUAAUACAAUUUUGACUACGUAAACGUUUAUUUGAGAACAAUAUUCCAUUUAUACUUGUACUGUAUAGUACAAUACUUAUAUACUAUUUAUACAACACAAUUUUAAAAUUGCACGAUACCUCUUUAAGCGAUACUGUGGCUGAAAAAUAUUGCUUUAUAGGUUAGUGCAAUUUGAUCUCCAAACUUUCUUGAUGGCGACCCCUACGACGAAAAUAAUUAUAAGUUGUACUCUGUAUAAAUCAUUUUGAUUAAGUAACACAAAAUAAAAACAUUGUGUUUUGACUGGUGCUGCAUACCUGUUAUUAAAUGUUUAAAAAUCUAUUGUUUUUGGGUACUCGAAUAC